UUACUGAAGCCUCUUUUUCUCACUUUUUUUCUUCUUCUUCAGCGACACGACCGCGCUAGGGGUUUCUUCUACUUUGGCGAUGCAACAGCGUUAGAGUUUUCUUCUUAUUCGGCGACGCGGCAGUUCUAGGGUUUCUUCUUCUUCGACGACGCGACAGCUCUAGGGUUUUCUUCUUCUUCGGCGACGCGACAGCGCUAGGGUUUUGUUCGCCGCUCGACUCGACGAUGAUAUUGAUGUUGAUGUACUCUUCACUGCUUUUGAUGAUGCUUAUGUUGUGGAACGAAGUGUAUGAAGCAAUGUCUCAAGAAUUACUUUCUUUGAUUAUACAACCACUUGACACUAUGAAAAUUGCAUGAAUUGAAUUUGUCAACGAUAAAUGGGGACUUUUGUAGUAAAGGCAAAGUCCCAAGAAUUACAACUUUUUGAGGCACUAUCAUCGAAACAAGAGUUAGAGCCCUUACUACACUUGGAGGAAGUCGUAUUCACUUGCUUAGAACCUUCAGAUGCGAGGUGUGAGAGAUAAGCAGUGCGAUUACGAGAUUGAGGAGUGACUUUGGCAAAGGAAUGACUUAGACGCUUUGCGCGCGUCACUUCAAACUUCCUCCGCAUUAGAUUUUUGGUUUUGAUUGGGACAAUGAAAGAUUUAAGUCUAAGGAGAUAUAUAUGUUGGUUGUUAGUUUUUGUCAUAUUGCUUUUUUGCAUAAUAAUUUUUUUUAGUUACAUCAAUCAUCAAAUUAUGUUUGGUUGUUAUUCA
Long non-coding RNA from Zingiber officinale, 754 nucleotides. RefSeq lists it as uncharacterized. The record is from RefSeq and is a predicted model, not a curated record. The transcript has 3 exons. NCBI's taxonomy places the organism in Eukaryota, Viridiplantae, Streptophyta, Magnoliopsida, Zingiberales, Zingiberaceae.